AAAGAGUAGAGCUAAUAAAGAAAAAAGCUAAUAAAGAUAGAAACAGUACUUGAUAAUACAAGUUUUCCCUUCAGAAAACAGUCAAAGGUUUUGGGGCGAAUCCUGUUAAUAUAGCUACAUUAACAUUAAUGCAGUGUCCCAAGGUUUUUCUUUUUUUUUUUUUUUUUUUUUAAAUUUUUUUUUUUUUUUCCAAAGAGCUGUUGCGUGUAAAACAUUGAUUUUGUUGUUUGACACCUUGAGAACUGCACCAAUUAUGGAUAGCUUUUGUGAUUAUUAAUAUCUUUUUUUCCAGAUUUCUGCUGGUAUUUAGAAAGAGAGGGAUGAAAGAGACCAGGAUCCAAACCUGCACGGUGUUGGUCACUGCAGACCUUUGUGCCAUCCAUGGACGUGAAGCAGCGUUGGGCCAGGAGCAACACGCACAAGGCAGUGACCACAGGCAGGAAGCUUGGUGAUGGGAACCUCUCUGCUCUUGGCCCAGGCAGCUGCUCCUGCUGGCUUCUGGAGUUAAGACUCGAGUCUUCAAAAGGUCCCUUCCUGAAGCAUUGUGAGGCUCCCAAAGGUAUCCACUGUGGGCUUCACUGCUCAGCUUUGUAGGUUGUUGGAGCUAAUAGAGCCAACCUGCGUGAAACAUAAACUGGCAACAAACUACCACAUGCCUUGGGCAACAAGCAGCGCUUUCUUGUUUUACAUUGUUCAUCUCCCGAGUGUCUCUCGGUGCUGCAUGAUAUGACAAAAGGCUCAUCCUUGGAUGCCAAGUUCUUAGCACAGAAUAAAUUAACAAGAGCAGAAAUUUCCA
This 796-nucleotide long non-coding RNA is filed under the name Anas platyrhynchos platyrhynchos (common mallard). RNAcentral's name for it is "lncRNA (ENSAPLG00000025358.1)". Lineage: Eukaryota; Metazoa; Chordata; Aves; Anseriformes; Anatidae. The record is from RNAcentral.